CAAAGGGAUGCGAAGUGGCGACAUGGAGCGAAUCCCAAAAACAAUGCCCCAGUUCGGAUUGUAGUCUGCAACCCGACUACAUGAAGCCGGAAUCGCUAGUAAUCGCGGAUCAGAAUGCCGCGGUGAAUACGUUCCCGGGUCUUGUACACACCGCCCGUCACACCAUGGGAGUCGGGAAUGCCCGAAGUCAGUGACCCAACCCAAGGGAGGGAGCUGCCGAAGGCAGGCCUGGUGACUGGGGUGAAGUCGUAACAAGGUAGC
RNAcentral lists this ribosomal RNA (261 nucleotides) under uncultured bacterium. RNAcentral's name for it is "partial 16S ribosomal RNA". It matches the Rfam family "Bacterial small subunit ribosomal RNA", at positions 1240 to 1500 of the family's 1533-position model. The record is from RNAcentral.